CACCCUACUAACCAGGGCUGCCCACCCAGACUCCCAGAGGGCAUACCUGGGGCUGGAAACUCCCUCCCUCCAUGUCUGCAGAUACCUGUAUGAAGUGAGGACUCAAAUGUACUCCCUGUGGUCUGGGGUCAAAAAAGCAACAAAGACUCUGGAACCCACUCUGUGUCCUCGAUGCCUUGGCCAUCUGUGGAGCCCCAGAGCCUGCAGCUGUGGCAAGCCCUGUUUCUGUGCUGGACCUGCUCACCUGAGCCUGCAGAAGCCGCAUGGGAGCAAGUGUGACAAAUAGUGACAGGAAGGGAGAAGACAAAAGCCUCUCAGCCACCUGCGUCAGCCAAGUCCCCACCCUAAGCACUAGCUUGCUGGACAGCAGCUGAUAUGUUCCUGAAACCUCUGCAGGCCCCUUAGGAUCUUUAUGCCUCGGAUGAGGAUGCCUGCAACCCAGGUUAGCCCACAGUACUGACAGUCUUACGUUUGAAGUGUCCAAAGUAUAGGGAGGUCUAAAUAACAGUCUCUACCAUAGGUAUCAGC
Long non-coding RNA from Sapajus apella (tufted capuchin), 528 nucleotides. RefSeq lists it as uncharacterized. NCBI's taxonomy places the organism in Eukaryota, Metazoa, Chordata, Mammalia, Primates, Cebidae. The record is from RefSeq and is a predicted model, not a curated record. The transcript has 2 exons.